RNAcentral lists this ribosomal RNA (477 nucleotides) under uncultured Desulfobacteraceae bacterium. RNAcentral's name for it is "bacterial SSU rRNA". It matches the Rfam family "Bacterial small subunit ribosomal RNA", at positions 29 to 481 of the family's 1533-position model. The record is from RNAcentral. Lineage: Bacteria; Pseudomonadati; Thermodesulfobacteriota; Desulfobacteria; Desulfobacterales; Desulfobacteraceae.
AACGAACGCUGGCGGCGUGCCUAACACAUGCAAGUCGAACGAGAAAUUACGCUUCGGCGUGAGAGUAAAGUGGCGCACGGGUGAGUAACGCGUGGGUAACCCACCCCUCAAACAGGGAUAACUCGCCGAAAGGCGUGCUAAUACCGGAUAUUGUCCCAGGGGCUCUGGCUCUUGGGAUGAAAGGUGGCCUCUUCUUGAAAGCUGCCGUUGAGGGACGGGCCCGCGUACCAUUAGCUAGUUGGUAGGGUAACGGCCUACCAAGGCGACGAUGGUUAGCUGGUCUGAGAGGAUGAUCAGCCACACUGGAGCUGGAACACGGUCCAGACUCCUACGGGAGGCAGCAGUGAGGAAUUUUGCGCAAUGGGGGAAACCCUGACGCAGCAACGCCGCGUGAGUGAAGAAGGCCUUCGGGUUGUAAAGCUCUGUCAAGUGGGAAAAACGUCCCACAGUGAAUAACUGUGGGAUCUGAUGUACUAC